AUUGAACGCUGGCGGCAGGCCUAACACAUGCAAGUCGAACGAGUGGCGGACGGGUGAGUAAUGUCUGGGAAACUGCCUGAUGGAGGGGGAUAACUACUGGAAAAGGUAGCUACUACCGCCUACCAUCGUAUGUGCCCUGGUGGGCUGAGCUAGUCGGUGGGGUAAAGGCUAACCUAGGCGACGAUCCCUAGCUGGUCUGAGAGGAUGACCAGCCACACUGGAACUGAGACACGGUCCAGACUCCUACGUGAGGCAGCAGUGGGGAAUAUUGCACAAUGGGCGCAAGUCUGAUGCAGCCAUGCCGCGUGUAUGAAGAAGGCCUUCGGGUUGUAAAGUACUUUCAGCGGGGAGGCGUUACCCGAAGAAGAAGCACCGGCUAACUCCGUGCCAGCAGCCGCGGUAAUUC
This 406-nucleotide ribosomal RNA is filed under the name uncultured bacterium. Its description in RNAcentral is "partial 16S ribosomal RNA". It matches the Rfam family "Bacterial small subunit ribosomal RNA", at positions 30 to 526 of the family's 1533-position model. The record is from RNAcentral.